AGCGAACGCUGGCGGCAGGCCUAACACAUGCAAGUCGAACGGAUCCUUCGGGAUUAGUGGCGGACGGGUGAGUAACACGUGGGAACGUGCCCUUUGGUUCGGAACAACUCAGGGAAACUUGAGCUAAUACCGGAUGUGCCCUUCGGGGGAAAGAUUUAUCGCCAUGGAGCGGCCCGCGUCUGAUUAGCUAGUUGGUGAGGUAACGGCCCACCAAGGCGACGAUCAGUAGCUGGUCUGAGAGGAUGAUCAGCCACACUGGGACUGAGACACGGCCCAGACUCCUACGGGAGGCAGCAGUGGGGAAUCUUGCGCAAUGGGCGAAAGCCUGACGCAGCCAUGCCGCGUGAAUGAUGAAGGUCUUAGGAUUGUAAAAUUCUUUCAGCGGGGACGAUAAUGACGGUACCCGCAGAAGAAGCUCCGGCUAACUUCGUG
This 432-nucleotide ribosomal RNA is filed under the name uncultured bacterium. RNAcentral's name for it is "partial 16S ribosomal RNA". It matches the Rfam family "Bacterial small subunit ribosomal RNA", at positions 29 to 507 of the family's 1533-position model. The record is from RNAcentral.